Molecule: long non-coding RNA, 1293 nt
Organism: Heterocephalus glaber (naked mole-rat)
Lineage: Eukaryota; Metazoa; Chordata; Mammalia; Rodentia; Bathyergidae
Source: Ensembl
CGCUCAUUGGCCGGCGCUGCCGGCAGCCAGGUCCCUGGCGCUGCGCGGCCUUUGUUCCCGGCUGACAGCUGUGGCCCAGUGGACCUCCCCGCCCACGAGCGCUCCGGCCCAGCGGCCCGGCUGCCCGGCUGCCCGGCUGCCCCAUCUCUCCACGCUGGCUUCGCUCAGACCCCGCCCGGCGGCCCUGCGUGCUGAGUCUGUCUCGCCCUGGUCUGACUUUGCCUGUCGUGCUCUUUCCUCUUUUCUUACCUGCACUCCCUUCUUGCUCCUUCCGCGUUUCCUCUCCUGCUCCCCUUUCUCUGCGACCCCCUUCUUGAUACCCCUUUCUCUAGCUCACCAGUUUCUUUUUCCCAAUAGAUUCCAUCUCCCCACCCCCUGCGCUCGCUCGGAAAGGCUGGGCUUCUCGGGUCUAGGACCUAGGUGGGGGGUUUCUUCCCCACGUCGGGGACCCCGGCACUCCUGUCCCCGGUUUCAAAUCAACUUUUCCACCUCUGUCACAGGGGCAGAGUUUCAGGAGAUCCUUGCUGCCUUCUGGACCGGACCCCGAACCUUCAGUUCCAGGCCUCCUGGAAGGCAGUGCAGCAAAGGGUUUAAAAACACAGAAAGGUGGCAGGAGACUGAAUGAACCGCUGCAAAUAUAAGACAGGGUCUCACUGUGUAGUUCAGGCUGGCCUUGGACUCACUGCAUAGCCCAGGUGGGCCUCGAUCUCUUGGGAAUCCUCCUGCUUCAGCCUCCUGAGUGCUGGGAUUACAGGCAUACACCACCAUGCCCGGCUCAAUUUGUGAAUUUUUUAACGGAGUUUUCUGUUUAAUAUUCUUGAAUAUCAGUUGACUUUGGGUAACUGAAACUGCAGAAAAUGAGAGGGAAAAUGUGAGGGACAAAAAUAUUUGGCUGCAUGAUCGAUAUACCCUUAUUGUCUACUCUGUGAUUUUUAAACUAUGGGGAUUUGUUAAAAAUGCAAAGUCUCUGUAACACCUCCAAGCUACAGAAUCCAAAACUCAGGGUGGGACCCAACCAUCUGUGUUUUAGCAGGCACUCUAGGUGGUUUUCAUGCCUCUCAAUUUGGAGAUUCCUUGCCUUCAAUUUGAGAAACCAAGGUUAUUUUUACUUCUUACACGUGACUAACCAAGGUAAAGGGCAAGUGACGUGCGUUCUAAAAGUUUAGAAUAGCAAAUGACACAAUUUUGUAUAUGUAAAUGUUUCUGUAUUUUAUAUAUAAACUUCAUAUGUGUAUAUGUACUUAUGUAUUACAUACUGUAUGCAUAAACAUGUGAAUAUACCUUGUAAACUAC